This 1359-nucleotide long non-coding RNA is filed under the name Nicotiana tabacum (common tobacco). RNAcentral describes it as "long non-coding RNA (NTAB_LNC002727)". Lineage: Eukaryota; Viridiplantae; Streptophyta; Magnoliopsida; Solanales; Solanaceae. The record is from RNAcentral.
UCCGAGCCACAUUGGUUUCGUGUAUUCACGACUACAAGGUAAUUUUUUUUCUUCUAUGUAUUUUUCGUUGUCUUCUACUUUUUUUUUUUUUUUUUUUAAGUUCAAGCAAGAAGGAUAUGUUCUUGUUUAAUGAGAUAAUUCAUGCAUGAAGAAGACAAUCUUAGGGAUGAAGAAUAUUUGGAGAGAUUACUCUCAAUGUGGUCCGAUUAUUGGAGAGAUUACUCUCAAUGUGCCUCGACUAUCGGAGAGAUUACUCUCAAUGUGCAAUGUGGCUCGACUAUUGGAGAGAUUACUUUCAAUGUGGCUUGACUAUCGGAGAGAUUACUCUCAAUGUGUCUCGACUAUCGGAGAGAUUACUCCAAUGUUCCCCGACUAUCGGAGAAAUUACUCUAAAUGUGUCUUGACUAUCAUAGAGAUUACUCUCAAUGUGCCUCGACUAUCGAAGAGAUUACUCUCAAUAUGCCCCGACUAUCGAAGGGAUUACUCUCAAUGUGCCUCGACUAUCAGAGAGAUUACUCUCAAUGUGCCCCGACUAUCAGAGAGAUUACGCUCAAGAGACUUAUAUGUCCACCUUAAGAUUGAAAAAUAUAGUUUUAUUUUAAGGACAAACCCACAAAGAGGCCAACUUAAGGUGCAAUAGGACUUAUAUGUCCACCUUAAGAUUGAAAAAUAUAUUUUUCUUUUAAGGACAAACCCACGAAAAUGCCAACUUAAGGUGCAAAGGGACUUAUAUGUCCACCUUAAGAUUGGAAAAUUAUAAAGCUUCAACUCGAAGACUUCGUGGACUUGACGAUGUUGACUUAAAUAUUUGGAAACUUUGAUGAUUUGACGGACUUUGCAGACUUAAACUUGAAGAGUGGCGAACGUGAAGACUUCAACUUGAAGACCGACAAACUUGAAGAUUUCAACUUGGAGACUUCAACUUGAAGACCGACGGACUUGAAGACUUCAACUUGGAGACUUGGAGGGUUUAAACAUUUCGACUUGAAGAGCGACAAACUUGAAGACCGGAGGACUUAAAGAUUUGGUGAACAUGAAGACAUAGUAAAUCCAUGGACUUCAAUGCAAAUACUUGGUAGCCUCUUAAAAGACUAUAAUCGCCUUAUUGAAGACAUUGGUUUAUCAUGAAGGCUUGCCCCCUCUAAGUCAUAUGAGAUCCAAAGUUCAAAAGAAGAAUGAAAUUUCAGCCUCAUUUUCAAGUGUUGUUUGAAUGAAUUACUUCCAUCAUAUUUCAUUUGGGACAACGACUUGGGCAAUAUGUAUCUUUUGAACUUAUGCGACUGAACUCAGAAUGAAACUCUAAGCUGCCUACGUACCUCGGUGAAGAGGAUCAAGUCAUACCGUAGUUCAUAAUGGGUG